Molecule: ribosomal RNA, 399 nt
Filed under: Triticum aestivum (bread wheat)
Lineage: Eukaryota; Viridiplantae; Streptophyta; Magnoliopsida; Poales; Poaceae
Description: partial small subunit ribosomal RNA
Source: RNAcentral
AUGAAUUUUCCCGACGUGUCGAGCCAGCGGGCGCAGGAUCUGGCACCUCUCCUGUGGCUUUUCACCGACGAGGAUUGUCGUGUCCACCGGAGGCGGCAGCGUCGCCUCGCCAUCGCCGAGAUGGACGUGGAAGCCAUGGUGGUGUGGCGCGAACGCUUCCCGCAGGACAUCGUCGACGAGCGCCAGUUCUACAAGCAAAGGAGGUUGGAGAGGGACACGAGGAGGACGGAGCGAGCCACCUAUCGGGAGGACAAGCGUUCGCGGAAGCAGGCUGCUCAAUUGAAACUGAAGCUACGAGAAACGUCAGGUUGGGACUUUGAAGACGAGCAGCAUGCUGACGCCUACAUUCAGACGUCGGAGAAGGACAUUACCGAGUCGGAGUCAAAAAGCGACGAGUAG